UACGAAGGGGGCUAGCGUUGCUCGGAAUCACUGGGCGUAAAGCGCACGUAGGCGGAUCGUUAAGUCAGGGGUGAAAUCCUGGAGCUCAACUCCAGAACUGCCUUUGAUACUGGCGAUCUUGAGUUCGGGAGAGGUGAGUGGAACUGCGAGUGUAGAGGUGAAAUUCGUAGAUAUUCGCAAGAACACCAGUGGCGAAGGCGGCUCACUGGCCCGAUACUGACGCUGAGGCGCGAAAGCGUGGGGAGCAAACAGG
Molecule: ribosomal RNA, 253 nt
Filed under: uncultured bacterium
Lineage: Bacteria
Description: partial 16S ribosomal RNA
Rfam family: Bacterial small subunit ribosomal RNA
Source: RNAcentral